RNAcentral lists this ribosomal RNA (485 nucleotides) under uncultured bacterium. RNAcentral describes it as "partial 16S ribosomal RNA". It matches the Rfam family "Bacterial small subunit ribosomal RNA", at positions 28 to 523 of the family's 1533-position model. The record is from RNAcentral.
GACGAACGCUGGCGGCGUGCUUAACACAUGCAAGUCGAACGAUGAACUUGGAGCUUGCUCUGGGGGAUUAGUGGCGAACGGGUGAGUAACACGUGAGUAACCUGCCCUGGACUCUGGGAUAACUUCGAGAAAUCGGAGCUAAUACCGGAUAGGACCUUGCACCGCAUGGUGUGGGGUGGAAAGUUUUUCGGUUUGGGAUGGACUCGCGGCCUAUCAGCUUGUUGGUGAGGUAAUGGCUCACCAAGGCGUCGACGGGUAGCCGGCCUGAGAGGGUGACCGGCCACACUGGGACUGAGACACGGCCCAGACUCCUACGGGAGGCAGCAGUGGGGAAUAUUGCACAAUGGGCGCAAGCCUGAUGCGGCAACGCCGCGUGCGGGAUGACGGCCUUCGGGUUGUAAACCGCUUUUAGUAGGGAAGAAGCCUUCGGGUGACGGUACCUGCAGAAAAAGGACCGGCUAACUACGUGCCAGCCGCCGCGGUAA